RNAcentral lists this non-coding RNA (29 nucleotides) under Cricetulus griseus (Chinese hamster). RNAcentral also lists the same sequence under 2 other names. The record is from RNAcentral. Lineage: Eukaryota; Metazoa; Chordata; Mammalia; Rodentia; Cricetidae.
UAGGAGUUGGAAUAGGAGCUUGCUCCGUC